GCUCAUGGUCUGAAUAAGAGAGAGAACAGGAACGAUACAGAAAAGAUUAGUAUGGUCUCUGCACAAGGAUGACAUGCAAAUUCAGGAAGCGUUCCAUAUUUUU
This is a small nuclear RNA of Tachyglossus aculeatus (Australian echidna), 103 nucleotides long. The record is from RefSeq and is a predicted model, not a curated record. NCBI's taxonomy places the organism in Eukaryota, Metazoa, Chordata, Mammalia, Monotremata, Tachyglossidae.